GAUGAAGAACGUAGCAAAAUGCGAUAAGUAAUGUGAAUUGCAGAAUUCAGUGAAUCAUCGAACCUUUGAACGCACAUUGCGCCCGCCAGUAUUCUGGCGGGCAUGCCUGUUCGAGCGUCAUUUCAACCCUCAAGCACAGCUUGGUGUUGGGACUCGCGUUAAUUCGCGUUCCUCAAAUUGAUUGGCGGUCACGUCGAGCUUCCAUAGCGUAGUAGUAAAACCCUCGUUACUGGUAAUCGUCGCGGCCACGCCGUUAAACCCCAACUUCUGAAUGUUGACCUCGGAUCAGGUAGGAAUACCCGCUGAACUUAAGCAUAUCAAUAAGCGGAGGA
RNAcentral lists this unclassified non-coding RNA (332 nucleotides) under soil metagenome. Its description in RNAcentral is "partial contains 5.8S ribosomal RNA, internal transcribed spacer 2, and large subunit ribosomal RNA". The stretch from base 1 to 120 matches the Rfam family "5.8S ribosomal RNA", at positions 35 to 154 of the family's 154-position model. The record is from RNAcentral.